CGCGGGAUUAGAAGAAAUAAGACUGUUAUUUAGAACUGGCAUAGGCAUGGAAACUGCAUCAGCUAUAACCAUAUUAGAUCCUACAAAGGAUUCUUGGUGUGAAACUGGUGUUUGCAUGAUUAAUUUAUGGCAAAUGUCGACAUCUAAGGUUGUAAUAGGAUAUCCAACUAAGGCUAUACCGAAGAAAAUUGGUAAAGAUUGGAUAAUACCAUUUGAUAAGUUUUAUUGGUUAAAAUGGAAUAAUAUGUCAUAUUAUGUGCCUAGUGAAGCCACUUAUGCGAUAGGUAAAACAACUGUUAUAGCCUAUGAUCUUUUCUCAGAUGAACCUAGGACUUCUGAUAUAACUAUAUCUAUGCCUCAGGCUACUUUGUUAGAUCUUGGGAAUUUUAAUAUGUUGUCUUGUUAUCCUGAACCGUACAUGGUUCAACGAUGGCAAAACAUUUCUUAUAGUGAUUCUUUGAGUCUGAAUGCUGGUUGCCAUAUACAUACUAAUGUCAUGAUGAUGGAACAUAUGAAUUUGACCGUUCAGAAACAUCUGUUUAGGAGUUUGAAUUUUACUAACACGAGAAAUGUACGAGUCCUGACUCAGGUGGUUUAUUUGUCUAAUCAUACUUUUGGGUUACAUACUUUUGUGCCCCAGCC
RNAcentral lists this long non-coding RNA (642 nucleotides) under Marmota monax (woodchuck). Lineage: Eukaryota; Metazoa; Chordata; Mammalia; Rodentia; Sciuridae. The record is from RNAcentral.